Molecule: RNA transcript, 2972 nt
Organism: Perca flavescens (yellow perch)
Lineage: Eukaryota; Metazoa; Chordata; Actinopteri; Perciformes; Percidae
Gene: rab4a
Gene name: RAB4a, member RAS oncogene family
Exons: 8
Source: RefSeq, a predicted model, not a curated record
GGAGUAGCGGGGUUGCUGUCGCAGGGCGGUCUGACGGGAAGCACAGCCGCCAUAUUUCUCUAAAUCAAGCCUGCAGCUAGGCUAGCUCACUAGCCGCUUCUUCGUUUUCUUCUUCUUGUACAGUUUUGUGGCAGCCAGGCAGUUGGCAAACAUUAAGGUCCGCCACCUCCUGGGCUAGAGGGUAGGUUGUGAAUGGACUAGCUAUUUUCUCGCUUCAUCUUAACUGGGAUUGGUGUUUCAAUUCUAUACACAAUAAUUAUAUUAUUUGGUAAUUUAAAUAUUAUGUUAGCUAAGGCUAUAAAUGAUCUUCAAAAAAGUCUGUCUCAAAAGCCUCUAAACACUGUUACGGUAACGAUAGCUGGUUAAACAGCACCGCCCUACGGCAGUCUUAAGCAGUUACAAUGCUCGGCCCGUUUGGAUUGCUUUUAUUUUGAAAAAACAACAAGCCACGUACGGGAAGUCGGAGGGGAAAUCAGCUGAAAUCCGCGGAAAACAUCAGCAGGACUAUUUUUCACUACUUAGCUAGCUAUCCCUAUCCAACUUCUAUUUCUCCUUUCCUUCCUUUUUGCUGUCAAAACUCCACACAGGCGAUGUCUGAGUCAUACGAUUUCCUGUUUAAAUUCCUGGUUAUUGGAAAUGCUGGAACGGGCAAAUCCUGUCUGCUGCACCAGUUCAUAGAGAAGAGAUUUAAGGAUGAAUCCAACCACACGAUUGGAGUGGAGUUUGGCUCCAAGAUCAUCAAUGUUGUCAAUAAAAUGGUCAAACUGCAGAUUUGGGACACUGCAGGACAAGAAAGGUUCAGGUCUGUGACCAGGAGUUACUACAGAGGAGCUGCAGGAGCUCUGCUGGUCUAUGAUAUCACCAGUCGAGAGACAUACAACGCUCUGACCACGUGGCUGAGUGAUGCCAGGAUGCUGGCCAGUCAGAAUAUCGUCAUCAUUCUAUGUGGAAACAAGAAGGACCUGGACGCAGACAGAGAGGUCACGUUUCUGGAGGCUUCCCGCUUCGCUCAGGAGAAUGAGCUGAUGUUCCUGGAGACAAGUGCUCUAACUGGGGAGAACGUUGAAGAGGCCUUUGUCCAGUGCGCUCGGAAAAUCCUCAACAAGAUAGAGUCAGGUGAGCUGGAUCCAGAGAGGAUGGGUUCAGGUAUCCAGUAUGGCGACGCUGCGUUACGACAGCUCCGUUCGCCUCGUCGUGCUCAGGCGCAGGGCACCCAGGAGUGUGGCUGCUAGUGGACGCACCCAGUAACACACAGUACACCGACAAGGUGAAAGAGCCAGUGGGCGGGUUUGUGAAGACCAGGAGAAGAACAGCCGCGGGGGACCCAGGGUUCAGGUUGCUAUGCUGGUGACUCCUCUCUGACCUUUUGACCUUUCGCACGGAAAACCUUCGGAACCUUUUGAACCUUUGUUGUCAUGACUGCACCUGCAGAGAGCUCAAAAGACCUCCCAGCCACGCCCCCACUCAGACCUCUCUGACCAUCUCCAAAGUAACCAGAGACCGCCCACCCUGCAACAUUCUGCUCUACUAUUGGACCAAACCUUCCCCAGCCCUUCAAUCAGUAUGUGAAUUACUGACAUGUAUGUAACUUCCCUCUCCUACCUUUCUACUUAUCUGCCCUCAUACCAGCUUACCUCACAACUUAGUACAUUUUAGUUUUCUCUACACAUCUCUAUAUAUCCUCUAUCCCCCCCCUCUCUCCACCCACCUGCUCUGAUUGCCUGUUAACUUCCUGCUCACCUGUUUCACACCACUAACAGGCUACCGACUACGCAUGCAUUUUGCACUCCAUGUAUACGUUCUUACACACGUUCUCUCCCAGUAAAGUGCCCCAGGCAAUGUAGCUACCAAAUUCCUACCUAUCCAACCCGGUGUUUACAUCCCAUCAUUCUCUCUGUUGCCUUCUUACACAUCUGCUUACCUGUCUACCUACCUGCCUGUCUCUUUACACAGCUCUCUGCCUCUCUGAAUCUCCCUACAGCAUCUUAUACCCUGUACAGUGUUUCUGUACAUAGACUGUCGCAUGUUUUCUCAACAGAAUAUCAGAGUAACUGAGAACAUUAUGAAGAGAUAUAUGUAUAUUAAAGUAGAUAUCCGCAUCUGUUUCAUGCUCCACUGUAUUAUUAUCAUGUUAAGCUACAAUACACUGGCAACUUGUAAGCAAUAUAGAAGGGGAGUACUGUUUGCAGCAGUUAUGUUAAUUUGUAAAUGGGACAAGCUGAUAUGGAGACCAUUAUAGACUAACAAGUUUAUGUGGGAAAAUUCUGUUUUAUUAAUGUUCAAGCUUAUAGAUUGAAAAAGAAGAAAUAUUUAGAGCAUACAUUUUGCUUUCUGUUAUGUUUAAUUUAAAUAAUUUGGAGUUUGAAAGUUGCAUGUCAACUUUUAAUUUACAAUGGCACAUUCAGCGUUCACCAUUCAGUUAAAUGAAUCCUGAAUCCAAAGGAUCCAAAGGAUUCCAGUUAUGACUGAUCCCUCUCAUUUGUAAAUGAUGCCUGUUUACAUGAAUACCUCACUGACUUCUGCCAGCUGUGGGGUAAUACUAACUUAACGCAUUUCAAGUUUUAGAAAUGGUAUGAAACUAUCUGAUGUGUGUUUGAGUUUGGUCUCCAAAGAUACUUUUAUGUUCCGUUCAGCCACAUGAAGCUCUCGACAAAAAUAAACACUACAACUUGGGAAUUUUUCAAAUAUUUAGAUUUAGAGGUGUGUUUUACAUAGGUAUAUUCAAGCAUCAUGUUGCAACAUGUUUGUUUUUUACAUGUUUGCCCCUUGACAAUUAUGCAUCCAACUUUGAAAUCAAGCACACUUCAAACUUCAUAUUAGAAUUCAUCUGAAAGUGGCUUUGGCUGCUUCACGUCAGGCUGCCGUGUUGUGUUUAUGUCAUCACGUCCUUUGUUUAUUUAUGGACGUUUGUUUUUCUCUUGUCAUUAUGAAUAUCAUGGAUUUUUAAUUUAUUGUGUAUGAUAAAAGCCUAU